Molecule: long non-coding RNA, 461 nt
Organism: Branchiostoma belcheri (Belcher's lancelet)
Lineage: Eukaryota; Metazoa; Chordata; Leptocardii; Amphioxiformes; Branchiostomatidae
Exons: 2
Source: RefSeq, a predicted model, not a curated record
AGUCGUCGUUUUGAUAGCAGUUCAGGUCAUAGUGCUUGUCUGUCGGUGCUGUUUGAUAAAGCGACGCCAGGCGGUGUACGAAAGAAUAACAGGUACAACAGUUCCGGUGGGAGCCAGUCCGGGGGAGAGACCUGCUCUGCAGUACGUCCGAGUCCCCGGCACUGCCUACCAGUACGCGCCGGUGCCUACAGCUCCCCCAUACAGUGCAGCAAUACCAAAAGAAGAGGAGCCCCCGCCACCAUAUGAACCCUAAACGACUGCUGAGUGGAACGAUUAGCAAGAACUCGACAGACUUUUCUAUUGUUACGGCUGGCCCCGAUAACGUGCUUAAAAUGUAUACGUACACUUAAUCCCCAAAUAGAGAAUCACUUCAUUCAAUAGUUGAUAAUGAUCAACAAAUAAUUAGGGAGGGGAGUGUAAUCGGGGAAUUGAGAAUACUGGUUAUAGCCUUUUGUAUGUUA